UCGCGGCUUAUCACCGGCAGUCCCCUUAGAGUUCCCGGCAUCAUCCGCUGGCAACUAAGGACAGGGGUUGCGCUCGUUGCGCCACUUAAGGCAACACCUCACGGCACGAGCUGACGACAGCCAUGCACCACCUGUGCAGGCUCCGAAGAGCACCCGCUUUCACGGGUUUCACCCUGCAUGUCAAGCCCAGGUAAGGUUCUUCGCGUUGCAUCGAAUUAAGCCGCAUGCUCCGCCGCUUGUGCGGGCCCCCGUCAAUUCCUUUGAGUUUCACCCUUGCGGGCGUACUCCCCAGGUGGAAUACUCAUCGCUUUCGCUUGGACGCUUGCUGUGUAUCGCAAACAUCGAGUAUUCAUCGUUUACGGUGCGGACUAC
RNAcentral lists this unclassified non-coding RNA (372 nucleotides) under uncultured Actinomycetes bacterium. RNAcentral's name for it is "uncultured actinobacterium contains 16S-23S intergenic spacer region". Lineage: Bacteria; Bacillati; Actinomycetota; Actinomycetes. The record is from RNAcentral.